This 387-nucleotide ribosomal RNA is filed under the name Rothia endophytica. RNAcentral's name for it is "bacterial SSU rRNA". It matches the Rfam family "Bacterial small subunit ribosomal RNA", at positions 387 to 786 of the family's 1533-position model. Lineage: Bacteria; Bacillati; Actinomycetota; Actinomycetes; Micrococcales; Micrococcaceae. The record is from RNAcentral.
UGCAGCGACGCCGCGUGAGGGAUGACGGCCUUCGGGUUGUAAACCUCUUUCAGCAGGGGAGAAGCGAAAGUGACGGUACCUGCAGAAGAAGCGCCGGCUAACUACGUGCCAGCAGCCGCGGUAAUACGUAGGGCGCGAGCGUUGUCCGGAAUUAUUGGGCGUAAAGAGCUUGUAGGCGGUUUGUCGCGUCUGCUGUGAAAGCCCGGGGCUUAACCCCGGGUUUGCAGUGGGUACGGGCAGACUAGAGUGCAGUAGGGGAGACUGGAAUUCCUGGUGUAGCGGUGAAAUGCGCAGAUAUCAGGAGGAACACCAAUGGCGAAGGCAGGUCUCUGGGCUGUAACUGACGCUGAGAAGCGAAAGCAUGGGGAGCGAACAGGAUUAGAUACC